Molecule: long non-coding RNA, 1040 nt
Organism: Marmota monax (woodchuck)
Lineage: Eukaryota; Metazoa; Chordata; Mammalia; Rodentia; Sciuridae
Exons: 3
Source: RefSeq, a predicted model, not a curated record
CCUGGAAAGUUUUUCUGACGAACUUCGUGACAAGUCCAGAUUCUUGCCACCUGCCUGCUGCUUGAAGGGUUCCCAGAAUGGCUUUACACAUCACAGGAAGAAGCGGAAGAAAAUAAGAAACCCAAUUUUCUUUUAGUAUAUUACUUGUCAGACAGCGAAAUGGGAUAUAAUUAUGGUGUGACAUUUCCAACAGCAAAUAUGUUCCAGUGUAAGCAAUUAACACCGGUUCUUUUGGCAGGCUUAAAAAGAUUACUCAGAGUCUGUGAGAAAAGACAGACAAGAAGCCGAAGCUGAGGCCAGAGGAGGAGUUGGGAGCUGAAGGAAUCCUGUGAGAGAGCAUUAAGGUGGAUCGUACCCACACCUGCUGAUUUAGCUAAUGACGAUUCGGCUUUCCCGGGCACCUUCUCGGUCACGGCUCCUCCCCUCGAUGGCGCUGCACGUGGCUUCAGUACCUGCCAUUCCGCCAUCUGCCAUGUCAGGGUUCCUGUCUCUACCGGUCCCCUUGCUCUGCCGGCCCUUGGCCUCCCCUGGCACCUGCAGAGCACGGCCACUUCGUAAACGCAGUUGACAGCAAGCGGGUGGAUUGGCGAGGCCCUGGCUCUUCCGACGCGCCUCUCCCAGCUCCCAGGGAAGGAGAACAGGAGCAGCUCAGUGGCAUCCUGCCCCCUGCCAGCCCCAGGGAGACCUCCAGGUGCUCAGAGCUCCGGGCAGAGGACGGGCUUCCACGCAGGGUGGACACUGACCCUCUGCCGGAAGACAGCCUGCAGCCCAAGCAGGGCCUGGAGGAAGCAGCCUAUGACCGCAGGGGGCCUGCAGGACGGGCAGGAGGCCCCAGCAGAACCAGAGGAGGAAGGGGGGAGCCGCGGGCGCCUGACCUGCCAGGUGGCUCGCAGCCAUGUCCAGCUUCAACGCCCAGCUCCCAGGGGGGGCUCACACUGUGUUUUGCUUUUAUUUGUUUUCAGUUAAAUCAGCUGUCAGUUAACGCAAGAGACUCCAGACACUCAGGUUUCUUACGAAUAAAUAAAUGAAUACCAUCAGAA